Molecule: small nuclear RNA, 104 nt
Organism: Balaenoptera musculus (blue whale)
Lineage: Eukaryota; Metazoa; Chordata; Mammalia; Artiodactyla; Balaenopteridae
Source: Ensembl
GUAUGUUUUGGCAGCACAUACACCAAAAUUGGAAUGACUCAGAGAAGAUUAGCUGGGUCCUUGCAAAAGAAGACACACAAAUUCAUGAAGCACUCUGUGUAUUU